Quercus robur (English oak) is the source of this 761-nucleotide long non-coding RNA. RefSeq lists it as uncharacterized. The record is from RefSeq and is a predicted model, not a curated record. The transcript is spliced from 2 exons. Lineage: Eukaryota; Viridiplantae; Streptophyta; Magnoliopsida; Fagales; Fagaceae.
UUGAUUCAGGAACUUGGUCUGGGGCUGAAGCCCAACCAAGCCCCUUUUUCUUGUGUGAAAACUAAAAACUCAAAGAAGAAAGCAAAAUGGUGCAUUGCGUAUGAGGCACUGAGGUUGCCCUUUAUCAUAAAACCCCUCUUGUCAAUAAACCCUGGCACCUCUCUGACUCUAACUCAAAUCACAUAUACACACAAAAUCCCUAGCUUUGCUUCAGAGAGAGAGAGAGAUGGAUAUUGAUGGGGUUAACGAAGAAGAGAAUUUAAGGUGAGCCCAAGUACGGUUUGUGACGAAGCUCAAACCACCUCUGACAGUUCCUCCUUUACCAAUUGCAAUCCCUAGUAACCUCACAAGAUUAGGGCUUUCCUCUCUCGUCAACAAUCUCAUCCAAAAUGGAAAUCCUGAUUGGAAUACUCAGCGCUUUGAUUUUCUCAUCGAUGGUGAACUCGUUCAAAUGUCCCUCGCCAAGUUCCUUCUUGCCAAAUCCAUUUCUGCGGAAAAGAUAUUGGAAAUUGAAUACAUAAAGGCUGUGGCCCCAAGGAAAGAAGAAGAACCUUCAUUGCAUGAUGAAUGGGUAAGCUCGGUCGAUGUUUUGGAUCCCAGGUAAGCAUUAGUAGUAAAAACAGACAUGUCAAUUAAGGAUGUAACAGAGAAUAUGACUAGUUUGUUGGGAUUGAAGCUUAGUUGUUAAAGUUGUUGUUCAUGGGUACUCCAUAAAUAUUUAUUAGAUUACGAGAUGCUUAUAUGAUGGAAAUCGCAAAAUA